Molecule: ribosomal RNA, 768 nt
Filed under: uncultured microeukaryote
Lineage: Eukaryota
Description: SSU rRNA
Rfam family: Eukaryotic small subunit ribosomal RNA
Source: RNAcentral
AAUUCUAGAGCUAAUACAUGCUGUCAAACCUGACUUCUGGAAAGGUUGUAUUUAUUAGAUAUCAAACCAUCAUUGGUGAUGAUUCAUAGUAACUGAUCGAAUCGUAGUCCGCUACGAUAAAUCAUUCAAGUUUCUGCCCUAUCAGCUUUCGAUGGUAGUGUAUUGGACUACCAUGGCAGUCACGGGUAACGGAGAAUUAGGGUUCGAUUCCGGAGAGGGAGCCUGAGAAACGGCUACCACAUCUACGGAAGGCAGCAGGCGCGUAAAUUACCCAAUCCCAAUUCGGGGAGGUAGUGACAAGAAAUAACAACUCGGGCGGCGCAAGCCGUUGCGAGAUUGCAAUGGGUACAAUUUAAAACACUUAACGAGUAACAAUUGGAGGGCAAGUCUGGUGCCAGCAGCCGCGGUAAUUCCAGCUCCAAUAGCGUAUAUUAAAGUUGUUGCAGUUAAAAAGCUCGUAGUCGAAAUUCUGGCUGGUCCUGUUUCUGGCUUCUGUCGACUCAGGACCUAGUCAUCCGUCGGAGAACCCUUGUCGUCCUUCACUGGUCGCUUGGGGGAACUGACCCUUUACUUUGAAAAAAUUAGAGUGUUCCAGGCAGGCUCUCGCCCGAAUACUCCAGCAUGGAAUAAUGGAAUAGGACUUUCUUCUAUUUUGUUGGUUAUUAGUAGAAAGUAAUGAUUAAUAGGGACAGUUGGGGGCAUUCGUACUUAAUUGUCAGAGGUGAAAUUCUUGGAUUUAUUAAAGACGAACUAAUGCGAAAGCAUUUG